AUGAACGCUGGCGGCGUGCCUAAUACAUGCAAGUCGAGCGAACAGACGAGGAGCUUGCUCCUCUGACGUUAGCGGCGGACGGGUGAGUAACACGUGGAUAACCUACCUAUAAGACUGGGAUAAUUUCGGGAAACCGGAGCUAAUACCGGAUAAUAUAUUGAACCGCAUGGUUCAAUAGUGAAAGACGGUUUUGCUGUCACUUAUAGAUGGAUCCGCGCCGCAUUAGCUAGUUGGUAAGGUAACGGCUUACCAAGGCAACGAUGCGUAGCCGACCUGAGAGGGUGAUCGGCCACACUGGAACUGAGACACGGUCCAGACUCCUACGGGAGGCAGCAGUAGGGAAUCUUCCGCAAUGGGCGAAAACCUGACGGAGCAACGCCGCGUGAGUGAUGAAGGUCUUCGGAUCGUAAAACUCUGUUAUUAGGGAAGAACAAAUGUGUAAGUAACUAUGCACGUCUUGACGGUACCUAAUCAGAAAGCCACGGCUAACUACGUG
Molecule: ribosomal RNA, 496 nt
Filed under: uncultured bacterium
Lineage: Bacteria
Description: partial 16S ribosomal RNA
Rfam family: Bacterial small subunit ribosomal RNA
Source: RNAcentral